GAAAUCCGUUGUUCUCGGGGUACAAGUGGUGAAUUACAAGUGUUUUUCGUGAUUUUCUGGGAUGAAGUGGUGCAUUUGUGUUUAUUGAAGCCCAGGCAGGACUGGGAGAACGCGAUUUUCGAGAGGAAAGAGUGAUGAAUAUUUGGCGAUAAAUUCGAUUUCCUGGGGAAUGAAUCCAUCACCCGAGAGUCAUUGCUGUGGAAUCCAGUAUUUGGAGUUUUCCAAGGGGUGAUGAGACUGGGGAGACUGGACCAUAUGGCGUGCG
This is a long non-coding RNA of Fopius arisanus, 265 nucleotides long. RefSeq lists it as uncharacterized. NCBI's taxonomy places the organism in Eukaryota, Metazoa, Arthropoda, Insecta, Hymenoptera, Braconidae. The transcript is spliced from 3 exons. The record is from RefSeq and is a predicted model, not a curated record.